GAUGAACGCUGGCGGCGUGCUUAACACAUGCAAGUCGAACGGAAAGGCUCCUGCUUGCAGGGGUACUCGAGUGGCGAACGGGUGAGUAACACGUGGGCGAUCUGCCCUGCACUUCGGGAUAAGCCUGGGAAACUGGGACUAAUACCGGAUAGGACCACAUUUUGGAUGGUGUGGUGGAAAGUUUUUCGGUGUGGGAUGAGCUCGCGGCCUAUCAGCUUGUUGGUGGGGUAAUGGCCUACCAAGGCGUCGACGGGUAGCCGGCCUGAGAGGGUGUACGGCCACAUUGGGACUGAGAUACGGCCCAGACUCCUACGGGAGGCAGCAGUGGGGAAUAUUGCACAAUGGGCGCAAGCCUGAUGCAGCGACGCCGCGUGGGGGAUGACGGCCUUCGGGUUGUAAACUCCUUUCGCUAGGGACGAAGCGCAAGUGACGGUACCUGGAGAAGAAGCACCGGCUAACUACGUG
RNAcentral lists this ribosomal RNA (465 nucleotides) under uncultured bacterium. RNAcentral's name for it is "partial 16S ribosomal RNA". It matches the Rfam family "Bacterial small subunit ribosomal RNA", at positions 28 to 507 of the family's 1533-position model. The record is from RNAcentral.